CAGCAGCCGCGGUAAUACAGAGGGUGCGAGCGUUAAUCGGAUUUACUGGGCGUAAAGCGUGCGUAGGCGGCUUUUUAAGUCGGAUGUGAAAUCCCUGAGCUUAACUUAGGAAUUGCAUUCGAUACUGGGAAGCUAGAGUAUGGGAGAGGAUGGUAGAAUUCCAGGUGUAGCGGUGAAAUGCGUAGAGAUCUGGAGGAAUACCGAUGGCGAAGGCAGCCAUCUGGCCUAAUACUGACGCUGAGGUACGAAAGCAUGGGGAGCAAACAGGAUUAGAGACCCCCGUAGUCCCUGUCUCUUAUAC
This 301-nucleotide ribosomal RNA is filed under the name uncultured bacterium. Its description in RNAcentral is "partial 16S ribosomal RNA". It matches the Rfam family "Bacterial small subunit ribosomal RNA", at positions 509 to 807 of the family's 1533-position model. The record is from RNAcentral.